GAGGGUGUUUUUUGCUCAGUGAGGGUGUUUUUUGCUCGGUGGGGCUGUUUGUUGCUCGGUGGGGUUGUUUUUUGCUCAGUGGGGCUGUUUUUUGGUCAGUGGGGUUGGUUUUUGCUCAGUGGGGUUGUUUUUUGCUCGGUGGGGUUGUUUUUUGGUCAGUGGGGUUGUUUUUUGCUCAGUGGGGCUGUUUUUUGGUCAGUGGGGUUGUUUUUUGGUCAGUGGGGCUGUUUUUUGGUCAGUAGGGCUGUUUUUUCUCAGUGGUGUUUUUACUCGGUGGGGUUGUUUUUUGCUCGGUGGGGCUGUUUUUUGCUCGGUGGGGUUGUUUUUUGCUCGGUGGGGCUGUUUUUUGGUCGGUGGGGUUGUUUUUUGCUCAGUGGGGUUGUUUUUUGCUCGGUGGGGUUGUUUUUUGGUCGGUGGGGCUGUUUUUUGGUCGGUGGGGUUGUUUUUUGGUCAGUAGGGCUGUUUUUUCUCAGUGGUGUUUUUACUCGGUGGGGUUGUUUUUUGCUCGGUGGGGCUGUUUUUUGCUCAGUGGGGUUGUUUUUUGCUCGGUGGGGCUGGUUUUUGCUCGGUGGGGCUGGUUUUUGGUCAGUAGGGCUGUUUUUUCUCAGUGGUGUUGUUUUUGCUCAGUGGGGCUGUUUUUUGCUCGGUGGGGUUGUUUUUUGCUCGGUGGGGCUGUUUUUUGCUCGGUGGGGUUGUUUUUUGCUCGGUGGGGCUGUUUUUUGCUCAGUGGGGUUGUUUUUUGCUCGGUGGGGCUGUUUUUUGCUCAGUGGGGUUGUUUUUUGCUCGGUGGGGCUGUUUUUUGCUCGGUGGGGCUGUUUUUUGCUCGGUGGGGCUGUUUUUUGCUCGGUGGGGUUGGUUUUUGCUUGGUGGGGUUGGUUUUUGCUCAGUGGUGUUGUUUUUUGCUCGGUGGGGCUGUUUUUUGCUCGGUGGGGCUGUUUUUUGCUCAGUGGGUCUGUUUUUUGCUCGGUGGGGCUGUUCUUGCUCAGCAGCCCGAUUCUCCCAUUUCUCAUGCCUGGUUUCAAUGCCUACAGUGACACACAGUGGCGAUGGG
Molecule: long non-coding RNA, 1051 nt
Filed under: Lonchura striata (white-rumped munia)
Lineage: Eukaryota; Metazoa; Chordata; Aves; Passeriformes; Estrildidae
Description: domestica (Bengalese finch) lncRNA (ENSLSDG00000001892.1)
Source: RNAcentral